This is a long non-coding RNA of Haliotis rubra (blacklip abalone), 493 nucleotides long. RefSeq lists it as uncharacterized. The transcript is spliced from 2 exons. The record is from RefSeq and is a predicted model, not a curated record. Lineage: Eukaryota; Metazoa; Mollusca; Gastropoda; Lepetellida; Haliotidae.
UGAGCGAAAUAUUCUCAAGCACGACGUAAAACCCAAUUUAACCUCACCUCACCUCACCUCACCUCACCUCACCUCACCUCACCUCACCUCACCUCACUUCACCUCACCUCAUGCUUACAACAUGCAGUUACUAGCAAAAAUAAACUUUCUGAACAUUCUGGAGCUGAUAUCUAGUUAGCAUGUAAUUACAAUUACUGGAAAUAUAUUGCAAAUAUAUUUCACUGGUGGUGAGAUUUGAUCAGAAAAUACGUCUCUAUGCACAGUGUAUGGAUGCCAUGUUCGACUACUACAGGUCUGUGUGGAUGUGAAGAGACAUUUGCUUGAAGGCUUCAAGACUUUAUACAUUAGGAGUGAAUAUUUCAAUAGAUGUGCUUCACUAUGUUAGAAACGAUAUACAAGGCAAACUCAGCAAUAUUCCAGCUGUAUGGUGGUUGCAUGAUAGCUCUUCUUGGUGCAUAUGUUGCAUGACUGAAAUAAAUACUAACCCACGAAA